UUUCAACAGCAGCUUCCGACCUCGGGCUUACCCCUCCUAACCUAUGUCAGCAAAUCGCUCCGCAGUUCGCAAAGUAGGAUCUGGGUUUACGGCCUGUGCCAUCCAUCUGCAAAUCCUGUGGUUUCUACAUCCACAAAUGUCCAGAAUCCACCCGCUUCUCACUACGGCCACGGAUACCGGCAUUAUCAAAGGGCGUCAUCUCUCAACUGAAUUACCGAAAUAGUCUCUUACUUGGCCGUGGUUCCCCCCUCUAGUCUCUUCUGAACACAAUAGCUGUACUGAUCUCUUUAAAAGCCUCUUCUUCUGGGUCCCUGUGCUGAACUAUUGCCCCAAAUAAACCAGACUAACUAAUUCAUCUGAAAGUUCUGGGAGGAAGAUUUUUAUAGAUAAGGAAACCGAGGCUUCAAGUAAAAUGGCCAGCUUUGAGAACGCGGUCUUACUGAGUGGUUUCCGCAUCAGCUGUCCUUUGUGAUUAAAAAAAAGACCCUCGCUGGAACAGAAUGUGACAACCUGUGCUUCAACGUCAGUCCAAAUCCUACGGUGUUCCCCUGGCAGAACUCCUGGCAUUCAGAUGCUUCAAAGGUUUGGGAUGUAGCUCCAGAACUUGUAUUUGGUCUCCUCCGGACUUCUGGAACUUACACUUUGUGCAUGGAUUGGAGUCAUUCUCGGUGUUGCUCACUCAUGUGGCACGCGGCUUUCUGAACCGUGCAAGAUUUCACCUUCCCGAGGAAGGACUCCAUCAUGUCUUGAAGCCUUUCUUGAACCCCUCACUGCAUCUACACUGAGUCUGGCGAUCGAUAGGUCACCCAUAAAUAUGAGAUGAAUGAAAGUGAAUACCUGAUAUUCGGAGAUACUGUCAAAUAGCUUUCUCUGGUUGAUUAAGAGCCUCCGUUUCAACAAAACUGUUUUCUUUUUUUUUGAAAACUUUAUCACUACAGAAAAUUUAGAGAGAAGAUGUAUGACGGACCCAUGUACCCAUG
This is a long non-coding RNA of Acinonyx jubatus (cheetah), 980 nucleotides long. RefSeq lists it as uncharacterized. The record is from RefSeq and is a predicted model, not a curated record. The transcript is spliced from 4 exons. NCBI's taxonomy places the organism in Eukaryota, Metazoa, Chordata, Mammalia, Carnivora, Felidae.